GGAGUUGUGGCUCAGUGGUAGAGUGCUCGCCUAGCACAUGCGAGAUCCUGGGUUCCAUCCCCAGCACCA
RNAcentral lists this transfer RNA (69 nucleotides) under Marmota monax (woodchuck). It matches the Rfam family "tRNA". Rfam says of the family: Transfer RNA (tRNA) molecules are approximately 80 nucleotides in length. The record is from Rfam by way of RNAcentral. Lineage: Eukaryota; Metazoa; Chordata; Mammalia; Rodentia; Sciuridae.